RNAcentral lists this small RNA (127 nucleotides) under Marmota monax (woodchuck). Lineage: Eukaryota; Metazoa; Chordata; Mammalia; Rodentia; Sciuridae. The record is from RNAcentral.
GCUGGGUGCUGUGGUGCAUGCCUGUAAUCCCAGAGGCUUAGGAGGCUGAGGCAGGGGGAUCAUGAGUUCCAAGCCAGCCUUAGCAACUUAGUAAGGCCCUAAGCAACUCAGUGAGACCCUGUCUCUA